AACGAACGCUGGCGGCAGGCCUAACACAUGCAAGUCGAGCGCCCGGAUUUAUCCGGGAGCGGCGCACGGGUGAGUAACGCGUGGGAACAUGCCCUGAAGUACGGAACAACCUGGGGAAACCUUGGCUAAUACCGUAUACGCCCUGAGGGGGAAAGAUUUAUCGCUUUGGGAUUGGCCCGCGUUGGAUUAGCUGGUUGGUGUGGUAACGGCGCACCAAGGCGACGAUCCAUAACUGGUCUGAGAGGAUGACCAGUCACACUGGGACUGAGACACGGCCCAGACUCCUACGGGAGGCAGCAGUGGGGAAUAUUGGACAAUGGGCGAAAGCCUGAUCCAGCCAUGCCGCGUGAGUGAAGAAGGCCUUCGGGUUGUAAAGCUCUUUCAGCGGGGACGAUGAUGACGGUACCCUCAGAAGAAGCCCCGGCGAACUUCGUGCCAGCCGCCGCGGUAA
RNAcentral lists this ribosomal RNA (451 nucleotides) under uncultured bacterium. RNAcentral's name for it is "partial 16S ribosomal RNA". It matches the Rfam family "Bacterial small subunit ribosomal RNA", at positions 29 to 523 of the family's 1533-position model. The record is from RNAcentral.